RNAcentral lists this ribosomal RNA (501 nucleotides) under uncultured Oscillospiraceae bacterium. RNAcentral's name for it is "bacterial SSU rRNA". It matches the Rfam family "Bacterial small subunit ribosomal RNA", at positions 12 to 507 of the family's 1533-position model. The record is from RNAcentral. Lineage: Bacteria; Bacillati; Bacillota; Clostridia; Eubacteriales; Oscillospiraceae.
UUUGAUCCUGGCUCAGGACGAACGCUGGCGGCGUGCCUAACACAUGCAAGUCGAACGGAGAUAUCCGCUGAUGAAGUACUUCGGUAAUGAUUCUUGGAUAUCUUAGUGGCGGACGGGUGAGUAACGCGUGAGCAACCUGCCUUUCAGAGGGGGAUAACGUUUGGAAACGAACGCUAAUACCGCAUGAUAUUAUUGAGCUGCAUGGCUUGAUAAUCAAAGGAGCAAUCCGCUGAAAGAUGGGCUCGCGUCCGAUUAGGUAGUUGGCGGGGCAACGGCCCACCAAGCCGACGAUCGGUAGCCGGACUGAGAGGUUGAACGGCCACAUUGGGACUGAGACACGGCCCAGACUCCUACGGGAGGCAGCAGUGAGGGAUAUUGGUCAAUGGGGGAAACCCUGAACCAGCAACGCCGCGUGAGGGAAGACGGUUUUCGGAUUGUAAACCUCUGUCCUCUGUGAAGAUAAUGACGGUAGCAGAGGAGGAAGCUCCGGCUAACUACGUG